CCUUCUCACUGAAGAGAGCGUGCAUGCCGGACUGAUUACUAUUCUGACUAAUGAAUUCUAUUAACUUGGGGCAACGCUGAAUCUUUAGCACUUUCAACAAUGGGAACUCAAUAUUGUGGUUUCCUGAGUUGAAGAAGAUGAGGUUUGGAAGACCCACUAUAUGCAGGGAGUUUAAUCGAGGGAAACAAAUCACAUCUUUCCUUUCUUCUUCAAUUUCCUCUGUAAGUAUUAUGUCCCUUAAGCACUUGCAAUCCUCUAUCUGAAAGUAUUGGAGCUGCACCAGACUUCUAGCGAGAGAGGGUGAUAACAGAUGCUCCAACUUGCCGCAUCCUUUGAUGAUCAACCUCCUCAAAUUCGUAAUCCAAUGACAUGUCUGGUUUUCGAUUGAGGGAAAAUAAAUUACACAUAUUUACACACAAUUCUUUUAAAAUAAAGGUAGUAUGUAACAUAAUUUGAAAAUAUGAUUUUCAAUUUUAAAGAUAAUUUUAGUUCGAUUUGUGGGCUCAAAUUUCAUUUUAAGAAUUAAAAAAAAUUGUGAGGUUUAAAUUUAGAUUAUUGAAUUGAUUUUGUACUUUCAAUCGAUGUGGAUUAAAAAUUAAAUUUUCAUUUGUUUUGGAUUUGAAAUUUAUUUUUGAGCUCCGAAAAAACCAUUACACAAUAUUAUUUAUUUCUAUUAUUAGAAGUAUUAAUGGGCAUAUAAAUAAAAGUUGUAUAAGAAAAUAUAAAUAGAGCCAAACAAAUACCUGUUUAUUGAAAAGUAGUAAGGGCUUAAUGGAACACCUUUCGUCUGGAGAGCAAAAGCUAACGAGUUGCGGUAGAUUUUCAAGUUUGAUGAAGCAUAAUUCAGAAAAUCCAAUUUUGUUUGUUUUGAUAUAUUGGACAUGCCUACCAUUUUUGACAUGAAGUCUCUUUAAAUUUGGAAGAUCUUUCCCAUUAUUUAACUCCACAAGUACAUUCUUGACGCCUUCAAGUCCCUCUAGGCUCAAAUCUUCUGUUUUUAUCAACAACAUUUUCAUCCCAUUGUCCAAAUCAAUGUUUGUAUAUAACAUGAGCUUCAAUGUUUUCGGGGAUUCAUAAUUAUGGAAACAAUUAUAUGCUCCAUAAUUACCUACGAAAAUCUUGAAUCUGUCCAAUGUUUCAACAAACCGGUGUUUUGGUAUCAUUUGGACAUCAAGAAUAUGAACAUAUAAAGUAAUUAGACAAGGCAAAUUGUUUAAUUCAUCAAGGCUUGCAUUUUUCCUCUCAUUUUCAACUAUUCCUCCCUUCUCCCAUUCAACAAAGCUCCCCCUCAUAUAUAAUUCUUCUAAUUUAGACAAACCUGAUAAGAUAUUCGGUGGGAUGAUUUUGAGUUCUCUACACCAACGCAAAUCUAACAACCUUAAUUGAGUCAAUUGUGCCAUCUCCUUAGGUAGUCCUUUGAUACCUGACUUAGAAAGGUCGAGGAUUUCUAAAUUCUUGAGCUCUCCAAGGAUAGUGAUGUCAUCAACUGCACAUUCUUUUAGACACAACAUGCGAAGGUCCGUGAGGUGAAUAAUUGAUUCAGGUAGGGAUGGAAACUCCAUUCCGAACAAAUCUAAGACUUUGAGGCCUUCGGUUUGUUUGAAAAAAUUGGGAGGAAUUUUAACCGCGCCAUCAUAGGCCUUACGGAAAAAGGAAAGUCCUGAACACUCCAUCUCCUUAGGAAGGUUAGCUAUAAUCUGAGGACAACGUAAGCUGAUCACAUUCCACGUCUUCAUUUUCUCCUUAUCGGACCACUCCUUUGGAGCAUGAUCUCUCAAAACAAGCAUACGGUAGUCCUUCAAUGCGAUAGCUAUAGCAGCAUCCCAAACAACAUCAUGGAUAUCAAAGCGCUUAUCAUUAUAACUAUCAAGCAACAAGGCAGACGCUUUGAGAUUAGCCACAACCGUCAAUACUUUAUUUCUAGCUUCUUCCAUAGUGUGGACACCAUCAAAUAAACCCAAACCUAGAGUAUAUCUUACCAAGUCCUCAACGAGACCAUUAUGGCCUAUUACACUGCAAAGCAAGAAAGUCAGCUUAACUUCCUCGCUUUCUAAAUAAUUAAAACUCCACUCUAUAGCUGAAUAUGCCGCAGCUAUCCCCAUGAAGUUGCUUGACGAAGGCCUCUCCAGUUCUCGUAAAGCAUUCUUCCAUUCAAACAAUCUUUUGUUUCUCAAAGCCCCUGCAACUGUCGCAAUGGCUAUCGGCAGUCCUGCACAUUUGUUGGCUACCUCCAUAGCUAUAGACUUCAAAUCGCAACUUUCAUCACAGUCGCCAGCCUUCUUCUUGAACAGGUCCCAGGCUUCCUUUUCAUUUAAAAACCCAAUGGGAAAAUUUUUCUGAGCAUCCAUCCCAUUUGAUAAAACAUUGAGCUCUCUAGAAGUUAAUAGUAAUUUGCAGCCCUUGUGUUCAUCUCCCAAAGGAAUCCCUACUUCCUCAAUAUCAACCUUUCCCCAAAUGUCAUCCAAGACAACAAGAAUCCUCUCCUCUUCCUUCAAUCUUUCUCGUAGUCGAAAUGCCUUUCCAACCAUACUCUGUUCCUCAAAUUGCAAGCCCAAAAAGUCUGCAAUUUGGUUCUGAGUCUUCUCAAUAUCGAUGGCUUGAGUUACGGUUGCUAUGACAACCGAAUCAAACAACUUGCCCUUGACCUUUCUAGCGAUUUCUUUGACCAGCGUUGUUUUUCCAAUCCCACCCAUACCAUGCACCCCAACAACGCUGACGCUAUUAUCUUUUAGUGACUCCAUUAUUCCGUUCAAAAUCGACCUUCUUGACUCGAAUUCCUCAUAACCUUUAACUGGUGCAACCACGAUACCUUGCGGAGCUGCACGAUAGGAAACCCUUUCAAACUUGCCAUGUUCAAGUAGUUCGGCAACAGCCUUUGCCUCCUCUUCAGCUUUCAGGCUAAGCUUGUAACGAGUCCUGAAAUUGGGACACAAACCAAUGAAACACUUUUUCUUUGCUUUUUCUUCAUCUUGCAUCACUUUCUCUACUUGUUCAAGGAUCUUUUCGUCGACUGCAGACAGCCAUUUGUCAACAUCACCUGCGAUCUCCUCACCGUUUCGUUUAGCUGCAUCAACAGAAUUCUGUACUCCGUCCCUUGCAUCUUUCAGCCUAUUAGCUCGGUUCUUGAGGGUCUCAACAUUUUUCUGAUGAUUGGAAAGGAUUUGACAUGGUUUUUGAUAGGAGAGAUCGUAUUCUCUACAGCUUUAGCAACAAUAGAGCCAACGAUGGCAAUAACAAACUCCAUUGAGAGAGCAAACUGAAUAACCACAGCGACAACGAAGACCAAAACUUGAAUCAUCUUAUAUUUAAAAAAAAAAAAAAGAAAAAGAAAACUCAUUUGCAUAAUCUUAACUACCAUUGAAGAGUUAAAAUUUUAAAAUUAUAAAUAUGUGAUUAAUGUUACUUUUAUGACAAUUAAAGUGAUUUUGUUAAUAGAUAACUAUUUAUUAAUAUAGACAUAUAUCUAAUGAUAUUUUCUAAUAAUUAUCUUUUUUUAAGGAAUACUUUUUCCUAAGCAUUGAAGGAAUAAAUUGUCUUUUUACACUUUGAAUAUUUUUACAACACAUCUUUUAAAUUUUUUUAAUUAUUAUUUAAAAAUUAAAUCUUUCUAAUUAUUUUGAAAUAUAAUUUUUAUCAUUAAAUUAAAUUUCUUUUAAAUUAAUUUAAACUAAUUCAAAAUUAUACCUAUUUCUUAUAUUUUGAUUAAAGCAAUAAUUUAUGGGUGAUUAUUUGGUAUACUAGCAAUAUUUUUUUAUUCCACAAGCCAUUUUAAAAAGUUUAUGUGUCUCUUUUUUAAAAUUUUUAAUUUUUUUUAUAUUUUACUAUACUCUUAUAAAACACUUGUCAAUCUCUUGACCUUACUGAUGGAGUCUAAAAAUAUUGUUGGAAGAAUUACUUUUAUGGAAACUUUGAGGCAUAUUCUCAAUAGUUAAAAGUGGAGAGUUGAAUCAUAAUUUUAUGGUUUCAUAUUCUACUCCAUGAGACCUUUACAAUGGUAUAUCAUAUGCUCAAAAUGGUUGAGUGGUGAAUGAGAAAUUGAUGCUCAAAGUAAGCUACUUGAAAAUAUUGCUGAGAAAAAGUAAAGGGUCAGAUCCCACAUUGGUUAAAUACCAACGUGCUUAUGUAUGUGAACUCUCUUUAAAAAUAAUUGAAUAACGAAGCUUGUAACAUUGUCUCACGCGUAAGGGGGGUGUAGGUCCAAAUCUAAUGGGGUUGAGUGCACCUGCAUGACGUGGGCAACGCGAAAUGUUCGGGCCGGUCGGGCCCAUGCGGAUAUUUUAACCCCUGCGGAUAUUUUAUGCCCAACACGAAUUUAUUUUUCCUCAGAAGACAUAAUCUGCUUAUAUAUGGACAGUAUCUGAUUUGAUCUAAUUUUUAAAUCAAAUUGAUUUUUUGCUCAUUAUCCUAAAUGCCUAUAAAAGGUUGUGUAUUCUGGAGGAUUAAACACACAUUCAAAUAAUUUUUUAUGCCGAAAUUCUGUUCAUUUAAAAACUCUUCCUUUUCCUCUCUAUUUUCAAACAUUCUUCUGAUAGAAAAAGGCAAAAUUCGUUAGUUGAUUGUUGUAGAGGUGCUACUACUUUGAUCACUUUUGUUGUUGUAUCCUGGGAGACUUUCGACUAACAUUUCUCCAAGUACCGUAGGAGCGGCCGAAUCUAUCUUAAGGAAACUGUGUUUCACAGGCCUUAAUGUUUCGUAAAAUCUCAAUUCUUAUUUAUUUCAACUUUUCUUAUGUUUUUAUUUGAUUCAUAUUUAAUAAAUGAAUUAUAAAUCAUUCUAUUUAUAUUUUAUUUCAUAUGUGUUUAUUAAUAAUUAAUUUAUUUUGUUCGCUAAUGUGUUUUGUCCAAUAAAUAUUAAUAAUAAAUUGUGGAAAUUAUUUAGUAAGUGGAGGUUUUAGACUCUACAGAUAGAGUCAGGAGGUUGACAAGUGUCUUAUAAGGGUGUAGUAACAUAUUUAAAUAAUAUAGACAUAUGCCAAUUUUUUAAGCCUACUUGUGGAAUAAAAAAAGUACAUUGCCAUUGUACCAAAUACUCACUCUAUUUAUAUUUAUAUUUUUUAUUAUUUAUUUUUUAAUAUUAAUUCAUAUUUUAAAUAUUAUGUGAUAACAAAAUUAAAAUUUAUUAACAUUAAGAAGAAGGAUCCACUUAUAUAUGUAAAAGCUAAAGGAAUUUUACACACUUCCGUAACUAUUUAUAUAAUUAAUAUUUUAACAAUCCAACUGUUAUAUUUUAUGGUCUAUUCAUAUAGAUUAUACAUGUCAAAUUUGAUGUAAAUUUAAAAUUUCUAACUAUUUUAUUUUUGUAAAAAAAAUUUCAAUCGUUGAUUAUAUAUUAGUGUAUAGAGUAUUUUAGAUCGAUACGAUAGAGAUAUUGAAUCCGUUCAAAAAUUUACAUGCAUUACAAGUACAAUUAUAUAUAUUGAUAAAUUAAACUGUUAAAUCGUUAAAAUAUUAAUCAUAUAAAUAAUUACGGAAGUCUGUAAAACUAUUUUAGUUUUUACAUUAUAUAAGUGACAAUAUCAAUAAUAUCUUUUUGUUAUACUAAAAAUUUCUAACAAUAAUUUUACAAUAUAAGAAAAUUUUUUUUGUUUAUUAAUGUUCUUUUUUUUUUAAUUUCGCUGCACAUUUUUUAAAUUAGUUAAUUUUUUAAAUAUUGAAAUUUUAAAUUUCAAAAUAGUAUAAUAAUAAUUAUGUUAUAAAAGCAAUUUCUAAAUAAUAUAUAAAUAAACACUUUUAAAUAUAUAAAAAUAUGUAUUUAAAUUUUUUUUAAUGAUUUUUCAUAUAAUUUUAGUGGACCAUCAAACCAGCUUUCCAGCCAUAUAUAGUUUUGAAAGGAAAUAAAGCAUCGAAUAAAAAAAAAGGUGGUCGACUACAAGAUAAAUCACCCAACCUCUGAAUAAGCAUGAAGCAACAAGUUGUUGAUACAUCCCAAACACAAGUGCUUAUGCACCUUUCCUAAUACUCACCCCUUUUUUUCUACGAAUUUUAAACAGCUUUUUAGAGAUUUAAAGCAUAAAAGAAGUCUAUUCUCAUGGUUAAACCUGCCUGCCUAAGCUUAUUUCAAAAGAGUAAGAGCAAAGCAGGGAAAAGAAAAGCAGAUGGCCUACCUUUUGGCUAUGAUCAAUAACCGAUAGUUUUCCCCCUUCCGUUUUUUUCUUCUUAACAGAGCAAAGCCAGAAAGUAAUAAAUCGAGAAAGACGACUUCUUACUUGCUUUAAAAGUAGAAAUGACAACCCAAGAUGUCUUAUACCAACGUAUAAAUGAAUUAUUAGGUAUCCAUGUAUUACAUAAACAAGGUUUCUCUUUUUCUCCUCUUAAAGGUGGAGUGAAUGAGUUAUCCAAUUGUAUGAGUGUUUUCAUAUAAGGUCAUUUUCCUAAUUAAUUUCCUUUUUGCUUUCUCUUUCUUCAACCACCUAUUCCUCCUAUUAAUAUAUGUUUUUGGAUGACUUAUUUAAUGGAGUGGUUAGAAUCAAACAAAGCACAUCACAAUCAAAGUAGAAAAAGACAAGAAAUAAGGAAGAAUGUUUCCAAGGUUUAGAUAUCAUCUUUGACAGACAAUGCUAUGCUAUUGAUUAAUUUAUGUAUCAAUUGCAUUUCAUGGAAACAACUCAGAAAUGACAUGCCAACAGUCCCAAAAUGUCUUAUACUAAAAUAUAUUUUAUUUAUUUUUGACAAAAUGGUAGCUAACAAAAACACGCUUUUGACUUUGACUAAUGAACUUAUCACCUUUAGAAUGUUGAUUAUGAACAACACAUAAGCAACCAAACACACAAAGAUCAUCAAUUAAAGGAAGUCUACCAAACAACAAUUUUUUUUUUCUUAAACACCAAGCUUAGAUACCAUGAUAAGAAUAGGGUAAUAAUUCCUUUCAAUCUUAUUGAUAAGCUUCAAGAAUAUACAUAAUAUUUAUACAACAGUAGUCAUGUAGGAAUAGAAAAGAUAUAUAAUAUAUUCCUAAAUAUAUGCUUAAAAGAUAUAUAAUAAUAUACAAUACAUUUAGAUAUUCCUAAAAGAUAAUUUCUCAUAAUAAUAUUCCAACAGUGUACCAAAUACUAGCUAUAUUUUAAAUUAUAUUUGUUUGUUACAAGUAUCAAACUAUUACAGCACGAAUUAUAUAAGGAAUUACAAAAUAGAAUCAAAUCAUUAGAGCACAACGAGAAUAAAAGUCGGUACAAUCAAGACUAAAGCCAACAACUUAAAUUAACUGGAUUAAAACUCACAUAUGACCAUCGCAUAUUAUGAGAAUAUGGACUAAGCAAAGUUAAUAAUAUCAAUAUCAACUACACUAAAACUCGAUUAGCAUCUAUUUAAUAUUUUUAAUUAUCUUCAUUUUGACUAAACGUACAAAAAAAUGCUAGUGGGGCAUAAGAUUUUUUUCCUUUGUUUGUUGCUAUCUACUAUUUGUUUUUGUUUUCUUUUUUUCUAAUCAACAUUGAUUUCAUUCAUAAAAGAAAGAAGUACAAAGGUGCAAUAAACUACAGCAAAGCCACAUAGAGGGCAGGCCUGUUAAUGCAACCUACUAUUGAACAUACAAAGUAUUUAGCUAAUUUCAUUAUUCAUUUCUACUAUUUGGUCAUAUAAUUUUUUCCUUGUCAUUUACAUACCACAUAUCCAUCAUUAACAUUCUCUUCCAUAAUUCAUGUAUUUCACUUUUCAAUUUUACAGCUCAUUAAACUAAAUUAAUUAUUUUUGUCUUUCAUAUAAUCAUACACUUUCUUACAUUUUCACUUAAUUUAUGGCUUAUCAUACCAUAAAACUUUUCAUUUACAUAUCACAUGUUACUCAUAUAUUUUACAAAUCAUAAUCAUAAUUAGAAUAUCAAUAACAGAACUCCUAGAGUCCUAGGCCAAAAUAGAACUCUCGACCUUUUAACGAAACCCUGAUAAUAGAACUUCGAUAUCCUACCUGUAAACAAUAUUUCGAAGAACAAAAACAUCAACAUAUCAUAAACUGAACUCUUGUAUCGAUUGUAACCCCUAUUUCACCAAUCCUAAGAGUAAUUUUUUUUAUAUCUCAAACUCAUAUGAGAAAUUGGAAAUUGGAAAUUUCAGACAAAUUUUACAAAGUACACAAAGAAUAAAAAUUCAUAAUAAAAUUCAUAAAUUUAAAAAUUAAAAUUAAAUCAAAUAAGUCACUAACUUUCGUAUCUUGCUAUGUCUUCUUUUAAGGAAAUUUUAAUAUUCAAUAUCAAAUUUCUCAAUUUGCAAUCCAUUCAUUUUACUAACUAUUUUUUAUUUUUGAAUCUUAAUUAAAAAGGAGAGUAUUUGGUACACGGAUAAUAUAUUAUUUUUAUUCCACAAGCAACUUUAAAAAAUUUAUAUAUAUAUUUAUUUUUAAAUAUUUAUUUUUUAAUAUUUUAUUAUACUCCUGUAAGACACUUGUUAACCCAUUGAUUUUGUUGGAGUUUAAAAACUCCACUAACAAUGUACCAAAUAAUUUUCUAAUAAUAUUCAAAAAUCAAAAUUUUGAAAAAAAAAUCAUAAAAAUUAAAAAUAUAUAUGAAAUAUGCGUGAAUUAUUAUAUGUAUUUCAAAAUUUAACGUUUCCGUUAAAUAAUAAUUUAACUCUUUUUAAAAAGUUGAUGAUUAAAUUCAACUCUUUUUAAAGGGUUUAAAGCCAAAUUGUGUGACAUUGUAAAUUUUCUUUGGUGGCAUAGGGGUAUGGAAGGAAAAAUAAUAAUUGUGUGACAUUGUAAAUUUUCUUUCACUUCACAUGGAGGUUACCAAAAUGUUAAUCCAAACUGCAGAGCUAUGCCAUUUUGUACGUAAAAGACUUGCUAGCUUUGAAUGGGUAAAAAUAAUGUGAGAGUAACUUUAAAUAAUUAUAUAAAACAUACUAUUUUUUUUAUUUUAAAGAUUUUUCUUUUUUGAGAUUUUCUUACCUAUGAAAUUAAAAAAAAUAAAAAAUAUCUUUUUGAUAUUGAACAAAUUGGUCACUCUAAAAGAAAUAGAGUAGUUUAAUCCUUAUUAAUUUUGAAAGUAACCACGAACAAUUAAUCAAGCGCUAAUAGUUUAUGUUAAUUAUACAUAUUUUUUAUUAGUAUAAAAAUAAAUUUAAUCCUUGAUGAUUAUAUAUUUUACGUAAAUGUUGAUAGAAUCACUACACCAGAAUAGGCCUUUAGCGGCACUUUUAGCGGCGUUUGGAACAAAAGCGCCACAAAAAAUCGAGCAUUAGCGGCGAUUUAGUCAAAGCGCCGCUAAAGGUAGACCAUCAGCAGCGAUUUCCAAGAAGCGCCGCCAAAAAUAGGAAUUAGCGGCGUUUUAUAUAAAGCGCCACAAAAAACCUAAGACCAACGACGUCGUUUUUGCGAUUUUUAAACCUUUAGUGGCGUUUUUAUUUUAGCGCCGCUAAUUCUCCGAUCUUUAACGGCGUUUUUAUCUGAGCGCCACUAAUGUUCUGGCCUUUAGCGGCGUUUUUGUCUAAGCGCCGCUAAUGCUCGUAUCAUUAGUGGCGUUAUUGUCUGAGCGCCACUAAUUCUCUGUUCUUUAGCGGCGUUUUUUCUAAGCGCCGCUAAAGUUCGUGUUUUUAGUGGCGUUUUUAUUUGAGCGCCACUAAUACUCUAGCCUUUAGCGGCGUUUUAUAUGUAAGCGCCGCUAAUGCUACCUUUAGCGGCGUUUUUGCUGAAGCGCCGCUAAUAGUAACAAAAAUCUUAUAAGUUGAAAUAAUUAAUAUUUUGUUCUAUUUAUUAUAUAGUCAUGGUACAAUUUACAUAUAAAUUAUAAUUAACAAAUAAUAUUGAUUAAUACAAAAAGUUUUUAUUAAAUAGAAGUCGUAUAUAUAUAUAUAACAGCUAACUAUUUAUUACUAAUUUUCAAUCACAGUUGAUUUAAACUACUUUACGAGAGAAAAUAUAUUAAAUUAUGAAUAAAAUAAAAUAUAAUAAAACUUAAAUUUUUUUAUUGCAAAGAAUAAAUUAAAAAUAGAAUUAACUUUUAUAAGAGUAAUAAAUUUUGGUAGUACUGUUCGACCAAAUAAAUGAAAGGAAUUAUAAAACACCAAUUUAUACAAAAUAUAUUUUAACAAUUAAUUAUUGUUUAAUCGAUUUUGACUAUAUUUUAUGAUUAUAUAUAUUAAAUAUUUAUGGAAUUUUUUUUAUUGACGGUAUUUUAAGGAGGACUGGGUAUAGAUUUAAGGUUUGGGAUUUAAGGUUAAUUUAGGGUUGGAGGUUUAGGGGGUUUGAGAUUUAGGGUUUCAACGGUCAUGUUAGGUUUAAUUUAGAUUAGUAUUAGUUUUUGAUUAUUUUUUAUGGUAAAUAUAUAUGUUCUUAUAUAUUUGUAAAAUAUAGAUCUAGAAUAAAUUUAAUAUAUUGAAUAUUAAUAUAAUAGGUAGAUCAUCAUGAUGGAUUUAUGCAUGUCUAUUGAUUGGUUAAUUUGAGACUUGUUAAAUGAUACAAUUAAUUAUCUUGUAUAUUUAAAAACAUUUAACCCUAACCAUUUGAUUUUUUUGAUAUAUAUGGCUAUAGCAAUAGCAGAUGCAAAAAUAUCGAUACUUAAGUUCAAAAAUGGUAAAACUUAUAUUUAGAUCGAUCCAAACGAAAAUUAUUGUCAUAAAGAUAAUUUGCUACCAUAUUUCAAUGGUCAGGGGGUUUAGACGGUCAUGAUAGGGUUUCUUAAUAAGAGGUUAAUAUUAGAUUGAUUAAUUUUUACGGUAAAUAUAUAUAUGUUCUUAUAUAUUUGUAAAAUAAAUCCAGUUAGAUGAAAUUUAAUAUAUUGAAGUUUAGUAUAUAGUUUAUAUUAUAAUUAAUAUAUAUAUAUAAUAGCCUUUAGCGGCGUUUUAGUCAAAAAUGCCACAAAUAUUACAAUAUACGGCGUCGUUUCGUGAAUUAGGGAAUCAGAUUCUAUUGUGGCGUUUUAUAGGGAAGCACCGCUAAUAUUCUUGAAACUGUGUCAGAACAGCGUCGUUUCAGUUGAAUGAUGUACUCUAUUAGUGGCGUUUUAAGGGAAAACGCCGCAAAUAUGUCUACAAUUUUGUGAAAACGUCACCGUUUCUUUCUGUAAUUGAAAAUUUAGUGGCGUUUUUUCCCGUAGCACCGCAAAAGGCAUGCAAUAGCGGCGUUUUUACGCAAAACGCCGCAAAUGUAACCUAUAAUUAAUUUAAACGGCGCUGUUUCUUUAAAGGCCAUUUAACCCGUGUCCUCAUCCUUUACGAACUUAUUAUCGAAAAAAAUGCAUUUUCUAUACCAAAUUUUAUAAUAAAAAAUUGUUUUUUAUACAAAGAGACAAAACUUGUUGUACCAAGUUUAUUAUAACAAAUUUCAUCCAUUUGUUAAGAGGACAUUCGAAGCUUCAUACGAAAAUUUGUCAUAAAGAUAAUAUUGCAUCCUUAUUUCAACUUUAUACAAUAUUUUUAACUAUAUAUAUAAGUUAUUAUAUUUUAAUAGAUUUUCACUAUAUUUUUUUUAUUAAAGAAUAUUUAGGGAAUAUUUUGGUCGAUGCAUGGUAUUCUAAGGAGUACGGGCCGGUAUAUAUGAAUUUAAGGUUUGGUAUUUAUGGUUUAGGGUUUAAGGGCUAGGUUAUGCUUUAGGGGUUACAGACGUGAAUUUAAGGGUUAAGGAUAAGGUUAAUUAGGGUUUAGGGUUUAGUGAGGGUUACAGAUGUUUUAGGGGUUUGGCCAGGGUUUAGGGUUUCUUAAUAGGUUAAUAUUAGAUUGAUUAAUUUUGGAGGUAAAUAUAUAUGUUCUUAUAUAUUUGUAAAAUAUAUAUCCAGAAUAAAUUUAAUAUUAAGAUAAGUUUUGAGUAUAAUAGGUAGGUGAUCACUUUAUGCAUGUACGUAGCUACAUAAAUUGAAUGGUUAAUAUGAAGAUAACAAGGUUAAUUUAUAAUUUGAGACUUGUUAAAUGAUACAAUAUAACUAAUAAUAGUUAUAACUGGCAAAACAUUUAACCCAAAUUAAUGUCCAUUUGAUAUAUUUUUACUUAUAUAUGGAUAUAUAUGAAUAUAUAUGGAUAUAUAUAUAUAGUUAUUAAUUAUUUAAUUUGUAAAUAUAGGACCAAAAUAAAAUUGGUAUAAAUAAAUAAACAAAUAAAUAAGUUAGUAAUUAUUUAUUUGUUAAAUAAAUUGGUAAUUAAUUAUUUAAAAGUAAGACAAAAAGAAAAUGAGAGUUUUAGCGGCGUUUCUAUAUAAAAACGCCGCAAAAGGUAUCCUUUACCGGCGUUUUAGUCAAAAACGCCACAAUUAUUGCAAUAUACGGCGUCGUUUCGUGAAUUAGGGAAUCAGAUUCUAUUGUGGCGUUUUAUAGGGAAGCGCUGCAAAACUUACAUAACUUAACUUAAACGGCGCCGUUUCGUCAGCGGACAAAUUCACUUACAUCAACCCUUAACAAAAUUCACUUACAUCUCUGCCUCUGUCCUCCAGUUACAGCUACCCUUAACAAAAUUGCAGAGAUUAGGUUUCGAAAUUUUCUAAGUGUCGAAAUUACAGAAAGAAGUGUGUAAAAACUUAUCACGAAAAAUAGAAAGGGAAGAAAGGUGGUCGGAGUCGAUCUUGAAAGAUGGUGGGCACAGCUGCGAGAUUUGUCGAUUGAAUAGGUAAGCCAUUUCUGUUCUUUUUCGAUUAAAUUUUUGGGGUUUUAGGUUAGUCUAAGUUAUUUGGGGUUUUAGGGUUUCGAUUAAACAACAUAAUUUGUGGGGAAUCAUUAGAUGAUGGGGAAUAGGUAAGACGUCUCUCGUCUUGGAACUGUGUUUGAAUUUAAGGGGAAUUUUACUCAUGUCUUUGCCAUCCAUUCUUUUUCUUUUACAGAAGAAAAAAGUGGAAUUUGUUUGAACUGGAACAAGGCAAGAACAAGAACAAGGCAAGGCAAAGGUAAGGCAAUGGUGUCUGUACAAGCCCAAUUUUCAUGCCCGGGCCCAAUUAACCUCUAGCCCAAGCAAAAACAAAACACAAAACCUGUUAACAAUUGAACCAAAACCAAUUAACUUACCCAACUAGCCUAACCCGGAACCCAAUUACAAACAGACCCAAUUACCAUUAACCUAACCUACCCAAUCCAUUACAGAACAGGCCCAAACCCGAGGCCCAAUGUCUUAGCCCAGUAAGCUAACUGCCAAAACUAGGGUUUCAGAAAAUCUGAAACCCUAGCGCCGCACCUGCUCCUGGCCUCCUCACCUGCCCUCUGUUCACAGCCGUCACCACGCCCACUUGCCCCAGACCUACCGCCACUCCUCUGGUAGCCACCAACUCCACCGCCAUCGUCACAUCACCUGCAAAGAAGAUGGCAAACACGCAAGCAGAAACGAAGACAAACUCUAUUUCUUUCUUUCGGCUAUAAAAGGCCAGACCUAUUAUGUUUAAGGGGCUUGAAUCUUUCUUUGUAAAAAAAAACGCAUAUCAGAAUCAGAAAUCAAGGGAAAUAAAAGAGGUUCUUGUUUCUUAUUCUUUUUUUCGAUUCUAUUUUUUAUUUUAUUUUAUCGUUUUACAAAUCUUUUUAAAAAAAAAACUAUUAAUCAAAAAGAAUAAAGAGGGGCUUACCGAAUGCCUCGUGACCGCAUCGUCGGAGGGCCGUUCUCCGUCAUCAGGACCGAUUUCGGGAAGGGAUUGUGAGCCCCAGUCCCGGCGCUCGUGGGGGUUCAAGGACCCGACUCUCAAGUCGCCUGGAGGCAGGGCUUUUAAAAACCCUUUUGUUGUGCUUCUUUGGCCGCCGAUUUCGUGGCGGUACGGCGGACGGACGGUCAGCGGUGAGAGCCCAACCGUUGGAAGGCAUAGGGAAGCUUUGAGAGCUUUCUGCAGUUUUUUUUGUGUGGGAUGGGGAAAAAAUGAAAAAAAUAAAAGAAAUGGGUGCUUUUAUAGCAGUAAUAAAACGGCGCCGUUUUGGCCCUUAGGAUCCGCACGCGACCCGACCCAUUCCAGGGGAUCCGUGUGUUUCCGUUCAAUGGGCUAUUUGCAACCCAGGUCCUCCGCUUUUAUGCUUGUCUUCAAUUUAAUCCUUUCACCCUUUCGUUGGCAUUUAUUAAUUUGGCCCCGCAGUUUUUGCGUUUAUUUCAAUUCGGUCCUGAAUGAAAUGACGGGCUAGAAGUUGGGGAUAUUCUCCCAAUCGGUCCCUUGCUCUUGCAGCGCAUUUUAUUGUGGUCCAUGGGAGCCCUUUUCUAUUUAUUUGCACUUUAGACCCCAUGUUUUGUUUCUAAAUUCAGUUUAGUCGAUUUGUUUAUUUAUUUUAGUUAUUUUAUUAAUAAUGUUAAUAAAUUUGAUACUAUCAUGGUUAUUAUUAUGUGUAUUACUGUUGUUAUAUGUUAUUUAUAUUAACUUAUUUUAAUAUCAAAGAUAUUUGUUUUUAUAUUGAUAUUACUAUAUUUAUAUUAUAUUGAUAUUAUUUAUAUCUUUCUUAUUUUUCAAACUUUGUUACAUGUAUAUAAUGAAUAUAUCUAUAUACAUAGAUUUUUUUUUACUCGUGUAUAUACAUACAUACAUAUUUAUCUUUGGUUUUAUAUUUCUAAAAUACAUAUGUACAUAUUUACACUGUUUUAUUAUAUAUAUACUUUUAUAUUUUAUAAUUUUAAUCUUUUUGUUAUUUACUUAUUUAUUUAAGUUCUCAUGAUUAUUUUAAGAGAAUGUUUUAUUUUUAUUUGCUUAUACAUUUGUUAUUUUGUGAGUUGUUGGUUUGUUCUUUUAUUUAUUUUAUUUUGAUUGCUAUUGCUCGUAUUUUUUAUACUUUUUAUACUUUCAUAUUCAUUAUGGUUUUACCAUGCAUAAAAAAUGUAAUUUGCUUUCGUAUUUUUUGUUACGGUUUUCGUGUUUUUUUAUUAUACUCGAUUUAACAAAAUUGGUUUUGAAUAAAUAAUAUUUCGUGUUUAGAUUCGAGAAGGUCGUACCCUAACUUACUGGGUUUCGAUUUUCACGAUAAAUCUAAAUGUAUGAAUCUUUUUGAACUCAAAUUUUAAAUGAUCUCGAAAUUUAAGAAAAGGGGUCGCGUCCUAACUUACUGGUUAUGAUCUCAUUUUUAAAUUCGAGAUGGCCAAAAUUUCUUAAAUAAACUUUCUCAUCCGCGUAUCGAAAAUUCGAGACAUUGUGUCCUAACUCACUGGAUAUGAUUCUCCUUCUCGAAUAACGUGAAAUAUGCCCCUUUUUCCUGAAAAUUUUCAACGUUUUAAUACAAGGAUCGUAUUUUUAAAAUUCUUCAAGGUUCUCAAUUUUUGACAUUAAGACAUUAAGUAAUCAACUAGGUACCAAUUUUGGGCGUAUCGAGGGUGCUAAUCCUUCCUCGUGCGUAACCGACUCCCGAACUCGUUUUUUUCUGAAUUUCGUGGACCAAACUUGUUGUUUUAAUAAAAUCAAACCGUUUAUUAAAAACAACCAUUUUUCGAGGUAAUCCAAUCACACCUCAUAAAAAAGGAUUGGUGGCGACUCCCAUUCCCGUUUCUUUUUUCAAAACCCAAGUCGACCCCAUUUUCAUCCAAAAAAAAUGGUAUCAACAGUGUCGAUGGCUUGAAUUGAAUCUGUCCAUGUUGUAUUGAAAACAUUGUCGAAGACAUGAAUGAGACAUGCAUUCUUAAUAGCUAGAGAAAUGAGUAUAAAAGUGAAGGAGAAUAAUAGAGUGAUUAACAAGUUUUAGACUUUGAUUUACAAGGAUCUUCACAAUUCUUUCUGCCAAAACUCAAUUUGUGUUUUUGGUUUAUAAAAGGCUACAAACUGCCAAAUUAAUUAUUUCUCAUCACCCAAUUGCCUCCGUUUUCUUUUCCAGAUAUAAUUAGAAUGGUUUUAACCCACUAAUGAUUUCAGGUGAAGAAUAUGAUGGUUAGAUUUUGGUGUGAAUUUGACGUGUUUUAUUUCUUUGGUGUGAAUUUGACGUGUUUUAACCCACUAAUGAUUUCUCAUCACCCAAUUGCCAAAUAAUUUGCUGUUUGCUGUGACUUAUUUCUUUUUAAAGAUGGGGUGAUGUGAUUAUAAUGUAGUAUCAAUGUAGGAAUCAUUACUGAAGUUUUGGGAAAUUAUUAGACAAGUAGGUAGACUAUUGCUGUUAGUUUAAUUGAUUUAAUGGAUUGUUUUUCUGUCAUGUUAUUUUGGGAACAUAUAUAUAUGUUCAAUUUUGGGAACAUGUUAGUUUGGGUACAGUUAUAUAUGUUCAAUUUUAAACCUCUAAUAUCAUCUAAUUCACUGUCAUGUUUCAACAUAUAUUCAUAUAUAUUUUCAUAUAUAUGUUCAAUUUUAGUUUUUUUAGUUUAGCUAACUUUGUGAGUAUAAACUCCUGUUUUUUUAAGUUUUUUGGCUUUAAUUACUUAUGUUUUUUCGGUACGUACUAAUGUAUUUCUGUCUUUUUUUUCCAGGAUUUGCUUCGGAAUUGAGUGGAUUUAAGGUAUUUAUUCCUAUUUUUCUCUAUUUAGGUUUCUUAUAAAAAAAGUCAAAUUGUUAAAUUUUUAUAUGUUAUUAUAUUUUAGUUGUAUAGUUUAAUUAUUAUUUUUCAUUUUUAGAUGGGAGUUUUAAUUACCAUUUUAGCUAAAUUUGCAUUUUACUUUGCAUCUUAUUACAUUUUUUGAUGUCUAAAUUUUCUGCUCAAGAUAUUCGGCAAAGAUCACAUUGUUUUAAACUAUUAAAAUUCGGAAUACAACUCUUAAACAAAUUUAUAUAUUUCAGUAAUUGAAUAAAUUAUGGGCGAAUCGUUUUAUCGGUUUAGCGUUUAUAAAUCAUCGAUUUCCGAUAUUAUGUGUUGCAAUUAUAAAUUUUACUUCAAAUUAAUGAUUAAUUAUCGAUCUUAACUUACAUAAUGGGAAUUCGUUAAUGAUUAAGAAUCUUUUACAUACAAAUAAAUUUGUAUAUUUAUUUAUAUUUUUUAUUAAAAUAAAAAUAUACUUUUUCGAAAUAUAUUUAUUUUGUAAUGGAAAUUCAAAGUAUUAUUUCUUUAAUAAUAAAAAUUGUUUUCAUAAAUAUAAACAAAUUAAUUAUUUCUUGUAAUUCGAAGUCAAUGUUCUUGUAUGAUUGAACUAACAUCAUUUGUUGUUUGAAUUAAUAAAAGCUACAAAAUAUACAUCAUAUCGUAACGAUCUUUGAAUUAUCCGGAGAUUAAAGCUACAAUAUUAUAUUUUAAAUGAAAUGUAUUCAAAGUUAUAUUGAUAUAUUUAUAUACAGUUUUAAUAUAUUAAUUAAAAUUAUAUUGAUAUAUUUGAAAAAUUUAAAGCGUUUAUAAAUCAUAAUUUACAUACAUAACACAUAGCCUACAUGACUUAUAUAAUACACAACUUAAAUAAUUUAAAUAACUUACAUUCAUAACUUACUCAAACUUAUAUUGCAUUUCCUUACAUAAUACAUAACUUAUAUAAAAUUUUUAUAUAAACUUACAUAAUACAUUACUUACAUAUUAACUUACAUAAGUUAUCUACAAGCUUAUAUUUAAACUUUCAUAACUUACAUAAUAGCAUAACAACUUACAUUAUACAUAGCAUACAUAACUUACAUAACUUAAAUAUCUUACACACUACAUAAUACAUAACUUACAUAAUACAUAAUAACUUACAACAUACAUAACAUACAUUAGUUUGAUAACUUACGUAAGUUACAUAACUUACAUAAUACAUAAAAAUAUAUCAUAUCAGAAAUUUUUGAAAUUCAUCUAUGGUUAUAACUGGCGUUUUAACUUACCCGUGCAAAUUAUUGUGAACGUCAGAAUUCAAUAAUUAAGAAAUGGACCGGUCUUGGAUGAAUUUGUCAAGGGUUAGCAAUGGUUAUCGAAAUGGAGUACAGUGUUUUCUAAAUUUUGCAUUUCAACAUGCAAGCCAAGAGAACAUGAUUCUUUGCCCGUGUAAGAAGUGUGUCAACAAAAACUGGCAUUAUCGUGAGGUUGUAUAUGAGCAUCUAAUUGUUGAUGGGUUUGUUCGGGGUUAUAAACAAUGGUUAUUUCAUGGAGAAUGCCCGCGUAGUACUUCCUCUUCAACGAUGGAUGUAUCUUACUCUGGUACUGCUUACCAUCAGUCUGAUAGAGGGGAUGACAUGGAAGGUAUGUUGCGGGAUGCAUUUAAUAUGCAUAAUCAUGGUGUCCAGUCGUUCCCAGCGGACUUUGUGGCUUCUGAUGAAUGUAAUAUUGGGAGAAAUGCUUUUACCGAACCGGGAAGUAGUGUACCUCAUGAAGAGCCGAAUGAAGAAGCGGCGAAGUUCUAUACGCUACUUAAUGACAUGAACGAAGCACUGUAUGAGGGAUCAAAAUUUUCAAAAAUGUCUUUCUGUGUUCGUCUUUUUCAAUUAAAAUGUUUGGGAGGGUGGACCGGGAACUCUUUGACAAUGCUGUUAGAGUUCUUGAGAGAGAUGUUUCCCUUUGCAAAAAUCCCUCAGUCAUGCAAAGAUAUGAAGAAAAUGAUAAAAGAUUUAGGCCUUGGGUACAACAAAAUCCAUAGUUGCCCAAAUGACUGCAUGUUGUAUUGGGGCGAUCGGAGAAAUCAACAGUGCUGUCAUGUAUGCGGCCACUCCCAUUGGGUAAGUAAAAAUACAGAAGGUGGGAACGACGAUGAAAAUGUAACAGCCCGAUUUUGACUCUAAUUGGACAUAGUGGUUUCGGGACCACAAGUCCGAGUUAAAAAAAUAUUUUAAUAUUAUUUCAUGUGUUUAUUAUAUGUUAAUUUACAUGUGUGAAAAUCUCGUGAAUUAAUUUUAUUGUUUGUGUGCUUAAUUUAAUAAAAGGACUUAAUCGCAUAAAAUGUGAAAUUGACUAAUUAAUGUGUAAAGUGCUAACUUGCUAAUGUCUUUAUAAUGUGAAGUCCUUAAUAGGAAAUUAGGCCAUUAUUCAAGAUAGUGGAUCGCAUUAUGCUUAUAAAUUAUAGUUUUUAUAUUAUGUAUAAAGGUUAUAAUAAUAUAUUAUAUUAUAAUGUUAAUAUAUUAAAAGACAAACAAAUUAAAAGCCACAUUUUUCAUCUUAUUUUGACCGAAACUAGAGAAAAGAAAAAGAAAGAAACCUAAGCUAGGUUCGGCCAUCUUUUGAAGCUUAAUUCAAGGUUAGUUUUUGUUCGGUUUUUGAUGAUUUUUACGUUUUUGAGAUCGUUGCUUUGAAUACUUCAAAACCCAUGUCUUAAUUUUGUGAAUUGAUGAAUAUUUUGAAUUAUGCCAUUGAUGAAUAUUUGUGUUUUGGGAUGUUUGAUGAUGAAUAAUGGAAGAUAUGUCUUAGAUUAACAUGUUUUGUAUUGGUAUUUUUGAUGAAUUUGAGUAUUUAGGGCUAAAUUGUGAAAAUAAAUUUUUGAGGGACUAAAAUGUGAAAUAAAUGCAAUGUGUGGACUUGUAUGAGAACCAUGAAUAUUCGGCCCUUGUGUGUUAUGGGCAAAUUUUGUGUAUUUUGUGUUUUGUGCAAAAAGGACUAAAUUGCAAAAAGUGCAAAAUGUUAGGGGAAAAAUGGUAAUUUUCCCAUUUAUGUAUUGUUGGACUCAAAUGAAUGUUUUGAUGAAUAAAAAGGUUAAAUUUGACUAUGUUUAGAUCAAGGAACGAAGAAAACGAAUUUGGAUCGGGGGAAGUCGAAGAUAAUUGAAUAGUCGAUCGUGUUUGCUGAUAUCCGAGGUAAGUCUAUUAGCUAUUUAAUGUCAUAAAAUCAGUAUAUAAAUAAGUAUAUGAGCUGUUUUUGGAUGAAUUAUAAUUAAAAAUAUGAUAGUUGAAAUAAUUAAAAGUAUGAGUGAAUUAUAUAUAUUAUGCAAAUCUACAUCUAUAUGUUCUCGUAUUGAACUUAGGUAUGCCAUUUAUACAAGUUUAUAAGGGGUUCGACUAUGCAACUAUGCAUGUAUAUGUUCUUGUGAUAAAUUUAAGUAUGAAACUUAUAUAUGAAAAAGGGAGAUUCGAUUAGGUAUGUAUGUUCUUGUAAAGGUUCUUGAACGGGGUUGAAGAGAUGAAAUUAUUAGCUUGGAUUAUCUUAAUGUGUUCGAAAGUACGAUAUUAAUAGUAUGCUUCAAUGUGUUAAGUUAUAUAUAUAUAUAUAUAUUCGGAUGUAUAAUUUAGAUAUUGAGUUGAAUUUGAUGAUUGAACUUUUUAUACCGAUGUGGGUUAAGGAUAUAGUUUAUAAAUGAUUGAGCUGAAUUUUUAUGUGAAUUCUAUAUACCAUUAUGAUAUACAACUCCUAUGAAUUGAGAUUCUUUUGUUAAAGCUCAGUAUCAUUCGGUUUAUCGUUAGUGACAUAAUUCAGACUUUACGUCUAGCAGGCUUAACGUCGGUGAAAUUAUUCAGACUAUAAGUCUAGCAGGCUUAAUGCCGGUGACACAUUUCAGGCUAUAAGUCUAGCAGGCUUAAUGCCGGUGACACAUUUCAGACUAUAAGUCUAGCAGGCUUAAUGCCGGUGACACAUUUCGGACUAUAAGUCUAGCAGGCUAAGAGCCGGUGUAUUGAAUCAGGUUUUAAAACCUAGCAGGCUAAAUGCCGGUGAAUCCGUUUAAAGCAUGUGAUAAUAUACAAUUGAUACCUCUAUGAUUUUGAUUAUAUGAAAUCGAUGUAUACAUAAAUGUUCAAUCACAUGAUUUUAGUCAUAUUAACUUGAUGAGCAUAUAUAUAUAUACAUAUAUUUGGUCUAAGCAAUUGAUAGAUAUGUAUAUAUAUAUAUGUUGCAUUCGGCAUAGGUGAAUAUAUUUAUGUGUAUGCAUUCGGCAUAGGUGAAAAUAAGUGUAUGUAUCUAUGCAUUCGGCAUAGAUGGGUAUAGGUGCAUAUGUGCAUUCGGCAUUUAUGGAUGAUAAGCAUAAAAAUUUGGCUUUUGAUAUAUGUAGUUGAAUAGUUGUAUUUAAAUGGAUUCGAUGAAGUGCGAACAAUAAGUACUCUAGAAAUCAGUAUAUGCUGUUAAGGAUUAUGCUAGUAACUUGAUUAUAUGCAUAUAAUGUAUAUACAUUUGUCCGUUUAUGUGUAUUAGAUAAAUAUACAUCCUUUUAGACUUAAACAAAAUGACUCAAUAAAGUAGUGUUUGAUUAGUAAUCAUAUUUGAUGAUUGUAAUUUCAAUAAAUUUACUUAAAGAAUUAUAUGAUUCUUUUAUAUGUAUUAUAGAUAUGCUGUAGACUUACUAAGCUAUAAAAGCUUACUUUGUUUGCUUUCGUUCAUUCGUUUUUAUAGAUUUUUUUUUUGGAGACGCGUUACGAGCUCGGGGAUCAUCAGCACCGCCCAUCACACUAUCGACUUUUUUUUUGGUAUUUUGUUAAAUAUUUGAACUCGAUCUUAUGGCAUGUAUAGGCUUGAUAAUGUUUUGGAUAAUUUUGAAUCCUAUUGUGUAAAUAGCAAUGCGAAAAGAGUUUAACUUCCAUGCUUGAAUUUGAUUAUAUAUGUUCAUGAAUUGGACUUGCAUUUGGAAUUAGAUAUUAAAGUUAUGUUUAUGUGAGCUUGGUUUCGUAAUGCCUCGUAACCCUGAUUCGGCGACGGAGACGGGUUAGGGGUGUUACAUAAAAUGUUGCACAACCAAGUCAGAAGCCGGUCAAGAUUUUACGAUAUUUUUCGUUGAUACCAAGGCUUCAAAAGCUUUUCAUGUCGUCGAAGACAGCGGAGUCUAUGACGUGGCACCAUGACGGACGAACCGAUGAUGGGAAGAUGAGGCAUCCUGCAGAUUCUUUAGCUUGGAAAUCAUUUGAUAAUAAAUAUCCAAGCUCUGCAAGCGAUCCUAGGAGUGUGAGGCUUGGGCUAGCAUCUGAUGGAUUUAAUCCUUUCAAGAUCAUGAGUACUGCGUACAGUACUUGGCCAGUAGUUCUUGUUCCUUACAAUCUGCCUCCGUGGAUUUGCAUGAAGAAAUCUUCCCUUAUUUUAUCUAUGAUUAUCCCUGGGGAGAAAGGGCCUGGGAAUGAUAUCGACAUUUAUUUACAGCCACUUAUUGAAGAGUUAAAACAAUUAUGGGCUGGUGUCGAGACAUACGAUGUGCUGAGAAAAGAGAACUUCAAUUUACGUGCAGCUUUGAUGUGGACCAUUAAUGACUUUCCUGCUUAUGUCAAUUUAUCCGGUUGGAGUACCAAGGGUCUUACGCGUGUCCUUGUUGUGCUGCACAAACAUGUUCACAAUGGUUGUACAAUGGGAAGAAGUUCUCUUACAUGGGGCAUUGUCGGUAGUUACCAGAAAAUCAUAGAUUUAGAUUUCAGAGUUCUGCAUUUGACGGCACUGAAGAGUUCAGAGAAGCUCCUUCCCAGACCAGUGGCUCUGAAAUCUUGUUCAUGUUGGAAGAUAUGAAUUUCAUUUAUGGGAAGAUGAACCAACCGCCAAACACACAGAGAAACAGAAGAUCAAAUGAUGAAGCUGAUGAAAGCUCCGACGAAGAGGACGAUCCUAAUGAGGCGGACUUGUGGAAAAAAAGAAGUAUUUUUUUUAGUUGCCUUAUUGGGAGCAUCAUCUUUUACGACACAAUCUUGAUGUUAUGCACAUUGAGAAAAAUGUCUGCGAGAACAUUGUGGGUACAAUUUUAAAAGUCGACGGAAAAUCAAAAGACAAUCUUCAGAGUCGACUUGAUUUAGUCCAAAUGGGAAUUCGGCCUGAUCUUCAUCCCAAUCCACUUCCAAAUGGGAAAUAUCGGUUGCCGCCUUCUAUUUUCUCAAUGUCCAAGAUGGAGAAAGAACUGUUUUGCAUGGUGUUGAAGAAUAUAAAGGUUCCGGAUGCGUAUGCAUCAAAUAUAUCUCGAUGUGUUAGUGUUAAAGAGCGAAGAUUAUAUUCGCUAAAAUCACAUGACUAUCACAUCUUGAUGCAAGAUUUAAUGCCAGUUGCUCUACGAUGUUGUAUGUCCAAGAAGGUGACGUCUUGUAUGAUUGAACUAUCCAACAUAAUGAAAGCCAUCUGUGGCAAAGUUUUGGAUGUUCAAGAACUUCAGAAGGUACAGGAUCGAGCCGCUUUGACUUUAUGCAACAUGGAGAAAAUCUUCCCACCUUCCUUCUUCACCAUUAUGGUUCACUUGAUAAUUCAUCUCCCGCACGAAGCAAUUCUUGGCAGACCUAUUUUCUAUCGAUGGAUGUAUCCCAUAGAAAGGUGUUAAAGAAGUAUUUUUUCAAUUUUUCUUCAUUCACCUCUAUGCCUUUAGUUACAACUUUUGAUAAUGUUGUAUAUUGUGUUUAGGUUCCUAUCCAAAUUAAAAUCUUACUGCCGCAACAAGCGAUAUCCAGAAUGAUCGAUUGCUGAAGGCUACUUGGCAGAGGAAUGUAAGACCUUCUGCUCAAGAUAUUUGGAAGAUGUCGAAACAAGGUUGAACAGACCAAAUAGGAAUGCUGGACUCACGGACUAUAACUUAGCCGAUACUUAUUUGUUCCAAAGUUUUGGAAAACCAAUCGGCAAAGUUGAAAUUGUAGAAUUAGAUCAUUUAUCGUGGGUACAAGUACAUCGAUAUGUUCUGUUUCACCACGAAUCAUUGGAACCUUUACGGAAGUAAGUUAUACAAAUUUUAAAAAUAUUUAUCGAACUAAAAAUUGUUUAUCUUCUAACAAAGAUCACAUUUUAUUUAACAUAGUGAGUACAAACAAAUAUUGAGAUCUCGUUCGCGCUCCCGAAGAACACAACAUCGAGAUAUCAAUAAGUUGUUUAGAGAAUCUUUUUAUGAAUGGUUAUGCCAAACGAUAUGCAGUUCGAGCUUUCGCUUACAAAUUAUAAUGAUUUCUCAUAACAUUUUUAAUUAGUCAGUUUACUUUCCAUUCAAUAGGUUUGGAGUGGGAAGAGCGUAAACGACGAAGUUAAAUGGCUCUCCUAAGGUCCAAAUCAAGUGGUUAAAAGAUAUAGUGUGUUCCUCAUCAACGGAUUCAGAUUUCAUACAAAAUAUCGGGAGAGGUUGAGGAGAACGCAAAAUUAUGGAAUAGUUGUUAAUUCUGCAAUUACAAGUUAUGCUAGCGCUAGGGACAAUAAUCCUGUCGAGGGAAAUGUGGAAUAUUUCGGACAGCUUACUGACAUUAUUGAGUUGGAUUACUACGGCAAAUGGAAAGUUGUCUUAUUUCGAGGUGAUUGGGCCGAUGUUAAUACAGCUCGUGGAAUCAAGCAAGAUCAAUUUGGUUUUAUAAUGGUGAACUUUGACCGAUUGAUUCACACAGGACAACAACUGAUAGAUGAGCCGUAUGUAUUCUCAAGUCAAGUCAAACAAGUUUUUUACUCAAAAGAUCCAACUGAUGAGGGUUGGUACAUUGUACUCCGUAACAUCCCUAGAGACUUGUUUGACAUGGGCAGUGGAAGUAGGGAUAACAUCGACGACAGAUCAGAAACUUUGUCAUUUCCAGAACAAAACUUAAAUGAUAAUAUCCCUAGUACUAGUGCACAAUUUCAAUGGGUUCGUCAGGAUACGGAUGAAGAUAUUUACGAAUAAUGAUGUAGUAAGAUUUUACGAAUGUUUAAUUAUAUGUAAUAUCAUCAUUUAUAUCUUGGUCUCGUUAUAUCAUAUCAACUGUUUUAUAUGUGCUGUUAUUGUUGUAAUUAGUUAUUAAGUUUUCAACUAUUUUAUGUGUAUUGCAGAUAAAAUGCCCAGAAGAAAAAUUCUAAGGGGAAGCAUUGUUCAAAAUGAUCCAAACUCGACAGAAACAAAUAGUACUGAACAACAGACAGCAAUUGGAUCUUCGAAUGUUCCGAUUACAGAUGAGGAUCCUACAGAAGUUCAAAGUAAUUUUACAUUUAAUUUACAAGCGUGUUAACUUAUAGUUGAUUUAUCUUUCAAAUUCUUAUAUUAUAAUAUACCAUUUGUAGCUGAAAAUGGAGGGAUGCGCAGAGGUCGAGGACGUACGCUACUUAAAGAGUUAUACGAGUUAGAUCCAGUCGAGCGUGUCAAGGUAUGCAGAAACAGUUUUGGUCAGCCUGUUGGAUCAGAAGCUUGACUUUUAGUAGGAUACAUGGGCAUUUUAGCACGAAAUGUGAAUAUGUUGCCUAUCAACUACGAGUCAUGGCGUGAAAUGCCCGAUAGCAACAAAAAUCAAGCCCUCGAUAAUAUUAAGGUAACAAAAUGUUAAUGUCAUCUGUAAUGCUUGGGAAAUACUUUCUUUUAUAUUUACUUUAUUAACUUGUGUUUUUUGUAGGCGAGGUUUGCUUUAGAGGUCUCCGAUGCUUAUGUAAAGAUGGCAUUGGGAAAAAGAUGGAGAGACAAUAAAAGUACGUUGAAAAAAAAUUAUUAUAAGACAAAAACAACCCUCGAUGAGAAAUUGCAAAAUGUCCCGCCGGGUAUGUUGAGGUACCAAUGGGAAGAUGCGGUUAGAUUUUUGCAAUCGAAGAAAGGCGAGGUACGACGUACUUCCAAACUAUUGUAAUUAUUUUGGUUUAUACUAUUUACUAUUUACGUUCUAAAAAUUUUAUAAUGUAGGAUUGUGAACGAGUUGGAAAAAGUAGCCGGCAGCAACAAAAAUUCACUCACACAGCCGGGUCAAGAAGUUUUGCAUGUGUAGCUGAGGCGGAGGUAUUUCUAAUUUUUUAAUAUUCUCAAAUAUGUAUAACUUUCUAUUAAAUAAUAUUUUUACUACUAUAUUGUAGGAACGGGCGUCCGGUCAAAAAGUUGGACGCCUUCAACUUUUUGAAAUUACACAUAAGAAGAAAGAUGGAUCUGCUAUGACUCUUGAAGCUGGUGAAAUUAUGGUACGUUUGCUUAAUACGAUUUGACUUGUUUUAGUUAUUUAUAGUGUUUCUUUACUAAUGGUUUAAUUUAUUGCUUUUAAUGCGACUAUUGUUAUAUUGCAUUUGUUUUUUUUAAUAUAUAUUGUGUUCCUAACUAUGUGAUUUAUUUAUUAGGAAAAACUAAAGGAUAAAAAGACGGAGUACGAAGCGAUUGCGUCUACUGAUAGUUCUAUUCAUCUUGAAGACAUUGACAACCGGAUUAUUACUGAAGUUUUGGGUCCAGAAAAGUAUGGUCGGGUUCGAUUUCAAGGAUCUUUUAUCAGCCCAACCCAAUAUUUUGGAACCAGCUCGCACCAAUACAUGGCUUCGGGGAGUCAAUCUCAAGCUGAAGUUCAGAGGUUAAAAGACCAGAUGGCUCAGAUGCAAGCGACCACAUUUGAGGUUCAAAAGAAAUAUGAAGAACUUCAGCAACAACUUAAAACAGAGGCGGCAGCGAGGGAAGCAGAGGCUGCAGCGAGAGAAGCAGAGGAUCAAAAGAAAUAUGAAGAACUACAACAACGACUUCAAGCAGAUGCGGCAUCGAGAGAAGCAGAGCAGAGCAGAAAGUAUGACGAACUUCAACAGCAACUUCAGAUGAUGAUGAAGAUGUUUCAGCAGUCGCAACUUCCGCCUCCAUAAUGUAUGUUUCAUAAAUAUUUUAAUCAUUUUAACAUUUAACGUUUUUGUAAAGAAAAGUAUGAAUUCAUUUUUAUAUAUUGAUAUUAAUAUUAUUUUAGUCAUUUAAUUUGAAAUAUUAUAUAAAUUUAUUGUUUUUGGUUAGUUUAGAUUUGGUUGCUUUUAUUUUGUUGUUGCAGGAGGGCAGAAAAAAACAAAAAAAAUUUAUUUUAAAAAAAUCCCAAAAUUAGUGGCGUUUUUAAAAAAAGCGCCGCUAAAAGUUAUAUCAUAUAGUGGCGUUUCUGAAAUAAGUGCCGCUAAAGCACACUACUUUUAGUGGCGUUUGUAGAUAAAGCGCCGCUAAAGAAUUUUACUUUUAGCGGCGUUUAUUCCCAAGUGCAGCUAAAGAUCAUGUAAUUUAGUGGCGUUUUCUAUAAGCGCCGCUAAAGAUCAUGGUCUUUAGCGGCGUUUGUUGCACAAGCGCCGCUAAAGAUCAUGAUCUUUAUUGGCUUUUUUUCUAAGCGCCGCUAAAGAACAUGAUCUUUAGUGGCAUUUUUUUCCUAAGCGCCGCUAAAGAACAUGAUAUUUAGUGGCGUUUUUUCUAAGCGCCGAUAAAGAACAUGACCUUUAGCGGCGUUUUUUCUGUAAGCGCCGCAAAAAGUUAGCGGCGAUAUCCUUAGCGGCAUUUUUUGUGGCGCAUCCACAAGCGCCGCAAAUUCCUUUAGUGGCGUUUAAAAGCGCCGCUAAAAACCUGUUCUGGUGUAGUGAAUGUGUAAUUAUUACGGGUUAAAUCAUGAUUAAAUUGACGAAAUGUGCAAAUAUUGUGGGUUAAAUUUUUUAAAUUAAUGACAAUUUGAUAGAAUGUUUAAACUUUGAAGGCUAAAUUUAUCAUUAUACCAAGAAAAUUAUGUAUAAUUGAUGAAAAAUAUUAACGUUGUGAUUAAUUGUCCUUAAUUUAUCACUUUCAAAAAUAGAAAUAAUUCAAUAACUCAGAUAUUUUUAAAAAUACCAACUUUUUCAAUAUCGAAAUUGAAAACAAUUAGAGCCACAUGUUUUAAUAUAUUUACCGAAAUUGGGGUAAUUCUGAAAUCAAUUGCCAUUCUUCAUUUUAAUAUAUUUCAUAAUUAGUUGCUUAUGUUUUUUUUUAUGGUUUAUGCACGCACUGUGUUUUUUUUUUUUUUUUGCAACAAUGAGUAACAUAGACAAUAAAUAAUGAAAUAUUAAGCGCAUAAUACAAAUCUCAAAUAUGAAUUAUAAAAUGGAUAUAAAAUAUACAAAUAAAAAUAUCAGAUUAAUCCUCAUAUUUUUUUCCCUCAACAAAUAAAAUUCAUUAGAAAUUAAAGGGUGUUGCUUGGAGCAAAGCAUCAAAACACCUUAAGAACCAAUCCAUAACCAAAUGGACAGUUACACUAAUAAACCAUAAACUCUAUGGAUUGGAACACUUGGUUAAUUAUGGAUGAAGGCCAGCUUGGAAAUUCAUACUUGAGACCUGCCAACCUUGCAACGUAUAAGCGAGACAGUCAACCGUAAAAUCAGAGGAUCAACAACCAAAUGGCAACAAUCAGUAAAGCCUACAACUGAAAUUUUAAAACUUGAUCAGAAUCCACUUAACAUUAGGCCCUGUUCUUCCAUCAGGCAAAUACCAACAACCCAUUGAUUCAAUUUCGGCCGUCUUUUCAGAAUCAGCCGUAUCAUUAGUAGAUAAUUGCCUACUUUUAUCCCUCAUUAAGGAAUAAUAUAUAUAUUAUAUUUGUAAAGAUACUUGAUAGCUUUAUGCUGACAUUGAUAUGGUGGCAAAUCCUUAAAACAGGGGUCAACCUUACUAGUAAAAGUUUACAUGUUUGUAGCCCAAUGCCAUGCAUGAUGCACUUGAAAUUCAAUUUUGAGGGUAUAAUGUGAAAUGGAACAGUUCAAAUAGUAGUUUUACAAAAACUGAAAUAACCUUUCACAUUUUACCAAAAGUUGCAGCCUCGUACUUCAGUAGAGCAACUCAACCUACAAUGAAAAGGGCGUCUCUAUGGUCACUUUAUAAAGCAUUAGUUUAAGCCAUGAUGAAAAUAGAAGAGUCAAUUACCAUUUGUUUUGAAUUCAAACGAAAUUGAGCUUUUCGCAUACGCACCCAAACUUAUUUCCUUAUUCCAGCUUGGGCGACCGAUCAGUAACCUCCGUCACCUCAGAAUUUUGCACAUUCUGUGCAUGAUCAUAACAAACCAAGAAUUGUUCAAUUAACUAUGUAUGUAUGUAUGUAAAAACACAUGAAUUUAAAUCCUUUAAAUGAUUUGUACCAUUUCAUCGAACAUAUGUUUUAUGGUAGUGUUAAGGUCGCCUUUCCACUGCAGUUCACCUUCCUCAUCUCUUGUUAAGUGCAUUUGUUCCAGCCUUGGUGUGCUUAAAUCUCCUUGGCAGAAAUUCCUCAUUUGGGGGCACUUUGUCACCAUCACCAUUAGCAAGACUGGGAAUUCCAACGAGUGAUGGGCCAAGGAAAAGCUUGCUAGACAUGGCAGACAACUUAGCUGCAAAUACUUCAGUUUGGGAAAUACAAUGCCGCCUUGUAUUUCUUCAGGCUCACACGCUAUGAUUUCCUCUAUCAUCUCACAAUCAUCUAUGCUCAAUCUUUCCAGUAGCCUCAGGCACUUAGCUGUUGAGCAUGCGACUAAAUUGAUGAACCCAUGGCAUCUUGAAACUUCCAGUGUUGUUAGAUUUUUGAAAGACAGCAAAGAUGGUUCAAAAGUCUUUAACGUCAACUCUGGAAGUUGAGACAAACUUAAUUCCUUUAGCUGAUAGAUUGCUGAUGUAUGCCUUUCCUGGUCGCUGAGUCCUUCAGAUUGUACUAUUUGACAAAUGGAAGCAUUGUCUAUAACAAGCUUAUGAAGGAUUGGUAGAGACCGAAUGAAGGAAUACGGAAGAGUAGUGGAUGUCUUGGGAAAGAAUUGGAGGUUAAGAUGCUUAAGGUUUUGGAAACACUGUAAUGAGAGUUGUCCAUCACAUAUCCCCUUCACCAUAUCAUUCGUCUUCAGUGUUAGUUCUUCUAAUACAGGGAAAGUGUCCUGGAUGGCAACGAAUAUAUUAAACAUCGAUCAAAGAGUUUUCAAUUAGUAAGAACUAGACUACAGAAUGAAUAUAAUUUCCAUUUUCUUUCUCAUAAAUUUAAAAGGAAGGUGAGAAUAUUAGUUAUUUCAAAAGGCAUUUUAUAGGUAAUCUCAAGUAAUGAACAUGGAGUAUGAAACUGUUAGUGAGCUCACCUCGUUGACGCAAAACAAGGGUUGUUGGUUUGAGAUUCCAACCUGACUCUCAGGACAUUUUGGAGUAAAUAUCUGUACUUUGGGACAUUCAAUAAUGUCCAUUUGUUUCAGUGAAGGCCACUGGGUGGUAUGCAUCCUAGAGUAGAAACUUUUCAAUCUCGGCACCUUAUCCAAUCCGAGGUUUAUUAGUUUGGGAAAUACAAACUUGGUCGUCUCUGUUUCAGCCAUAAUAGAUUGAGCAGCUGAUGUUGAAUGUGACUCAUCAGCAAUGACUCCUUGCAGCUCAAUAAUUUGUUCUAACGAAUCACAAUUCUGAAUCCGCAACUUCUCCAAACUAGGGAAAACAACCUGCUAAAUCAUUUCAUUAGGUUAAUAACUGAAAUAUGCAUGGAAAAGAAAGAACUUCAAACGAGUAAGAUCAAUCGAAGCAACAUAAAUUAAAAGGAGAACCCGUAAAGAAAUGACCUUUUCAUUGAGGAGAGAUGGGUUAUGAACCUCCAAGUUACUCGCUUGUACAUGUUGGCCAAUUUCAGGUUCAUCUUCAGAUACACAUUUAGUGAUGAAUGUUUUUAGCAAUAGACAAUUUGUUAGUUCUAAAUCUGUCAAACAUUGGAAUUCAAAGUAAUUUUCAAAGCAGAAACUUGUGAGUUUGGGAAGGUCUUUUAGCCACAGCAAUUCUAGUUCAGAGAAAGACAUCUGAUUCCUCCCUUGAUGUUCUUCAACCAAUCCAUCCGUGAGUAUUACUUGUUCCAUCAUAUUACAGUCCAAAAUUUCAAGGCGUCGGAGUUGCACAAGAUCUUUUACCAAGAAAGACGGGAACAGGUAUUUCAAAUUGUGACACCUGUUCACUUGCAAGGUUUUUAGGCAUCCGACAGAUGGGGAGGAUGGGUGGUGCCAUAUCUCAUGAAUGUUAACGAAGGACAAUUCCAGAUGCUGCAAACGAGGAAUGACAACCUGUUGACAUAAAUUUCAUUAUAAGAUAACAUCAUAACUCUUCCUUCUUUACUCACAUAUUUAUGUAGUUUCCAUUACUGAUUUACAUUAAUUACUUAAGUUAUUUAAUGAGUUACCUUAAAAAAGAGUUAGGCAUAGAUAAUUUAUUUAACCCUCCAAUUUUAUAAAAAAAAUUUUAUUUUAGCUCUCUAUUUUAAUUUUUAUUUCUUUUAUCCUUUGAACUUGUGUUAUUUGUCAAAUCAUUCAAAGUAGAGAAAAAAAAAUUGACAUUUGUUAACUUUGCUGAUGUUAUAUACAUUGGAUUGCCUGUAGAUGACAUGUCAACAAUUAAUUUUUAUUUUAUUUUGAAAAUUUUAUAAAAAUAUUUAAAAAUAUAUAAAAUAUUCUAAAAAUUAAUUAAUUGCUAACUUUGCAUACACAUGAAUUUUCACAUAAGCAAAGUUAACAAAUAUAAACUUUUUCAUUCAUUUUGAGGUGAUUUGACAAAAAUGCAAGUUCAAAAGCUAAAAAAGAUGAAAAUUUUAUUUAACAUUAUUAAGCAUUAGUCGUAGCUAUUAUAAAUAAAUAUUAAUAACUUUCGGAUUUAAGAUCUUAUGUUUAAGGGCUUAGAAUUUCAAGUUUAAGAUUUAGGGUUUUAACAUUUAAUUAUAAUUAAUUUUUAUUUAAUUAUGUUUAGAUAAAUUUAUUAGUAUUUAUUUAUAAACCCUUUACUAUAUUUUUGUGGUAUUUACUGAUAAUUGUAUGUUCUUAUUCACCGAUGAUACAUGAAACUUGUGUACCGCCAAUACAUCAAAUAUUCUUCAAAUUAAAAUAGAUGAAGAUUAGUUUUUUAUUUUAUUUUCUAUUAUUAUUUUAUUAUUUAUUGUCCAUUAGUAUUUAACUUUAAAACUUCUCUUAAAUUCUUAUUGUUUAUUAGUAUUCCACUUUUAAGUUUUUCCUUUAUUCUUAUUUUAUAUAUUUAUUUAUACUUUAAACUUCAAAUUAAAAAAUAUUAUCUUAUUUAUUAAUAUUUUUAUGGAUUUUAUUAUAUUAAUUUUUACAGCACGUAUCACGUGACAUUAAUACUAAUAUAUAUAUAUAUAUAUAGACCAGACACACUCAUAUAAAUUAAUCAAAUAAAAGGAAAAUGUGAAAUAAGUUGUGCAGAUAAAUAUUGAAUACUAAACUUACCUUAUUGCUGAAAAAAAUUGCAGGGUUAUCAUAGAUGCCCCCCUCGCCAACCACGUUUUCACUUGCAUCACCACUUCCUCUUGAAACUGAGGAAGAAAAUGUAGUCAUUUUUGGACACUCAACUAUUGCGAUUCUAAACAACUCUGGAAAUUCAAGAGCUUGACUUCCCAAAUAGAAAUUUGUCAAGUUGGAACACAACUCAAUUCUUAUGGAGAAGAGUGCAAGAAAUGUGAAUUUAUCUGUCAUUGCUUCCUCCCUAACCACUUGUUCCAUUGAACUGCAUUCUUUUACUUUUAUCACUUCUAGUUGAUUGAGGCUCAAAAGCAUAGACGAAGUAAAUAUGUAUUUCAAGCUACUACAUUUAUAAAAAUGCAACGAACCAAGGUUUUUGAAGCCCAAAAUUUCUUGAGGGUUUCUAAUCCAUUUUUCUAUUGACUUGGGAAUUGUGUCAGAGAUGUCCAAAUUGUAUCCGUCAUAGAAUUCAUCCUAAAAAAAAAUUUAUAAUAUUAUUCCACUAGAUAGCAAUCACAAAUAGAAAAUGCAAACAAUAACAAAAUAACGAUAAACACUCUUCAAUGAUUAAUGAAGUAUUAAUAAAAUUAAUUGUAUCAGGACAGGAAGAAGCUAACUACUUUUAUGAACUUAUUAAUUAACUUUGUACCUUUUCCGUGUAGAGCUGUUGUAUGGUGGUAUUUAAGUCACUUGCCCAACUCCAUUUCUCACGGGAACUCGACUGUUUUACUCUUUGUAACUGUGGGGUGCUUAAAACUCCUUCAGUAAAGGUCUUUAAUCUAGGACAGUGUUCCACAACUAAUUCUUCCAAACAAGGGAAGUUGAAGGUGUAAUUCCUUGAACAAAAGCUUGUGAGGCUCUGUAAAUAGCUUAGUUCUAAACAUUUCAAUUUACUCACAACUAUUGUCCGAUGGCAGUCUCCCCCAUUUCCCACUAUUUCUGUCAUUUUAGUGCACCACAUCACCCUCAUUCUCGUUAAUUGCACAAGAUUCUUAACCACUAAGGGUGUAACUAAGUUUGUCAUCAUUUGACAAUAUGACACAUUCAAAGUUGUGAGAUUUUGCAAAGAUGAGGAGGAGACUGUAAUAUUUAUCAAAUCAUCACAUUCCCAAACUUCGAGUUUUUGGAGAUUAGAAAGAAUAUGGUCAAACUCCGAAUCUUUCCUCCAUAUAUGAUUAAGAUUCAUGGCACGAUCCAGUAUCAGAUUUCUAAUUGGUGUGAGAGUCCCAACGUCUCCUUUACAAGGGACUACGUAUUUGAAAUCAAAAUCACGAAGCUUAAAACUAUCCAAAUUGUAAAAUCUUCGAAUGAAAGGAAAUAUAGAAGAUCGAGAGCCACCACGCACUUCAAAAACUUUAAUCUCUUGAAACAAGGCUGGUGGAAACUGGUCCAUAUCACCAAAAUUUAAUAACUCAAGUUCCUCUAAAUUGGGAAUGACCUUGAAACCAAUUAAACAUAAACAAGUUAGGCACAAUGUUGAUCUAUAUGCUUAAAAAGAACAUAAGAUCUACAAUUUUGGUGUUUGAUAUUGAUGAUUAAACCUCAACAAAAUCAAUAUUAAAUCAAACUAAUCCAAAAUAGAUGAAUAUUUUGUUUUAAGAAAGCACAAUACCUUAGAAACAAAAAAUGAUAAAAAUAAGCUGAAAGAAGUGCAUAAAAAAUCUGAAUUAAAAUGGAUAAGCAACCACCGUUUCAAAUAAUAUAUAUAUCAACAAGAGAUGGAUGUGACGGUGGCUUAAAUCAUGAAAAGGAAUAUAGUUGUAAUGAUAUACAUACCUCUUCAACCAACAAAACUGGCUGCUCAUUUCCUUGGAUUAAUCUAAGAUGUUCCGAAGCCACUAUCUUUAGCAAAGCAGAACAAUCUGUUUUCAAUUUUUUCAACAGGGGCCAGACUAUUGUAUGUUGCCCUUCAUAGAAACAUUUGAGCUCUUUUAGGGAUGUAACCUCAAGGGAAGACACUUGCGGAAACUCGAACCUCACAGGCUGCUCCUCCACUCCUUCCCCUUUCGAUACAAUCUCCUCCACUCCACAAUUAGUGAUGCGUAAAUGUUCAAGUUGUGGAAGAUGUUGGGCUAUUGACACUGGAAAUAGAUUUUUCAGACUCCCACAUCUCUCAACUCUUAUUUUUCGUAGAUUUUGAAAAGAACCUGGUGCAAAGUCAUUAUGAAACAUCAUUUUCACAUUUCUCAACUUGUUGAUUGUCAUCUUUUCCAACCUAGGAAAUGCAACCUAUAUUUAAUUCGUGCCAGUACAAAAGUUAGCUCAUAUAAUGCCAGACAAAAUAACAAGGACAAAUCAACAGAAUUAUAUAAGAGCGUAAGAGUAAUGAAAUAAAUCACCUUCUCACUGAAGAGAGCGUGCAUGCCGGACUGAUUACUAUUCUGACUAAUGAAUUCUAUUAACUUGGGGCAACGCUCAAUCUUUAGCUCUUUUAACAAUGGGAACUCAAUAUUGUGGUUUCCUGAGUUGAAGAAGAUGAGGUUUGGAAGACCAUCUAUAUGCAGGGAGUUUAAUCGAGGGAAACAAAUCACAUCUUUCCUUCCUUCAUCAAUUUCCUCUGUAAGUAUUAUGUCCCUUAAGCAAUUGCAAUCCUCUAUCUCAAAGCAUUGGAGCUGCACCAGACUUCUAGCGAGAGAGGGUGAUAACAGAUGCUCCAACUUGCCGC
This 34101-nucleotide long non-coding RNA is filed under the name Gossypium barbadense (sea-island cotton). Its description in RNAcentral is "long non-coding RNA (GBAR_LNC020354)". The record is from RNAcentral. Lineage: Eukaryota; Viridiplantae; Streptophyta; Magnoliopsida; Malvales; Malvaceae.